AGGAGUACAUAGUUAACAUUUUGUUAGAUAUUGCUAAAUUGCCACCUUUAGUUUUGAUGAGUGAGCAGGCGUUUAUCUGGCAUAUAAAGGUGUAACAAAGGGGUGAUAUUCCAGGCACAGGGAGCAGCAGGAACAAAGACACAGCAUGUGCAAGUGAUCAUGCAGUCUGGUGGGGUAUAUGGUAGGGAGUGGGCAGACUAAAAUAAUUUAGGGCCAGGUCAAGAAUUGGGUGAGCUGAGGCAUCAGGGCAAAUCUCUCAGAAGUAAUCUGAGAGAAGUAAUAGGAUAAAUCUCUCAGAAGUAAUAGGAUAGAAGGCAAAGGUGAGUAGGGGCAUGAAUCCGUUUCUGUGGAUGGUAUCUUUCCUGCUGCCUCCCUCUCUCCCUGCCUGCUUACUUGGUUUCCCGAGUGCCUGCCUUGCCCUCCUGCCCUCACACAUUUAUUGAACACCAGUUGCAUGCCAGGCACUACUGUAGGCACUGCUUCUUGCUCUCAUAGUAUCUGCCUUCUAGUGGGGAAGACAUACAAUCAACAAGAGAAUGAAGGAAGGGAGGAAGAGAGGAAGGGAGGAAGAGAGGAAGGGAGGAAAGGAAUCUGGGAGGCAGGAGUGCUGUGAGGGAAAUCAUGCAGAGAAGGGUAGUGUGGGGUGACAAAGAGGUGGCCCUGGCGACCUGGAAGGUGGAUGCUGCUCACUCACUUCCUGCCUAAGUCCCAUCCCUGCCCUGUCUGUCCCAGACAUCACUGCUCACCCAGGGCACUGGGAUUUCCCUCCUCUCUGAACUUGACUUCUGAUUUCAUGGUAUGUAUUUCUCAUGCUUCUUGUUUUCAUUUCCCAUCUCCCCUCUUUGACUGUAAGCUCCUUGAGGGCAGGGCUGAGUUGUUUUUACAUGUUUGGCUCCUACGCUAGAGUCCAGUGCCUUGAAGCACAGAAACUUGAUUUUAAAAAACAAAAAACAAAAUCUCCAUUGUUGAAAAACUUAGCAAGUUUACAUUUUCUGUUUUUUCUUUUUCUCUUGUUUCUGAGGUUGUUUGCAUGAUACAUGGUCACCACUCCUGAAGAAUACUUUUGCUCCUGCUGAGUCGUCCUGCCUGUGCCUUCCAUCGUUGCAGGAACAGCCACGUUGUCCGGCUGGCGAUAAAUGAAGGGCCUCCCUGGUUGGGCUCCUCAGCUCAUAAUGAGGAUUCCCAGCAGGCCUGGAUGGAUCUGAAGUAAUAGACAUGGAUAGGACCAAGGAAAUCAGUGAAGGAUGAAGCACCCAGAGAACAGCAACAGUGGAGAGUGCCUUCUGAUGACAAUUGGCAAUCGCACAGAGCUGCCACUUGAGGACAAUGUACCAGCUGAAGACUGAACAUCUGACUACCGUGAGCUCCGAGUGAGGCAAGAUGGGGAAGAAUGAGAACUAGAGCUCAGCUACAAGAGUUGUGUGUGCCAGGAGGGAGGUAAGAAAACUGGUCCUGGGUGAUGAGUACCACAGAGCAGGAGGUGAACAAAACCCAAAUAUCCCAGAGAGUAGGCCAGUGGUUUCCCUGGGGAAUGUGAAGGGAGCUACUAACAAGCCCCAGCGUCCCAGGAGCCAAGUCUCCCUAGUAUCCAGGGUUCCUCCCAGCUUGCAUCUGCCCACAAGGAUCUCAUGUACCACUGUCAGGGAUCUGGCUGAAGUCUCAACAGCCUAUGUUUACCACUGUCCUGUGGGGAACAGGAUACUGUUCCCAAUCAGUUCCUAUCUUGCUUGUUUCAAACUCAGAAUCAUUGUGACAUGAGCCUUUGGGUGGGGACUUUGAAAUCUUGUUUUCUCUAAAGAAGUAGUUUUCAAAAACAUUUGAUCUUGAUCCACAGUAAGAAAUAUAUUUCACAUUAAAAUGCAGUAUAUAUAUGUGUUAAUAUGCACACAUAUGUGGAACUGAGAUAGGUUUCCGUGAAAUUUACCCUUACCACAUUUGAUGAUCUCUAGUGUGGCCCAUUCCAUUUCACUUAAAAUAUGUUAAUCACAACACAGUAAACUGUUGUAUAUCCCACAAAUGGGUCCUGACCCAUAGCAGGAAAAAGUAGUCUUGAAGCAUUCAGGCUUGAGUUUUGUUCUUUGGCUGUCAGGGCCUUGUGCCACCUUGGGAGCAAACCUGCCCUCCCUGAGCCGAUGAAACCCAUUUCCUGACAACAACUGAAUGCUUUAAUUUCCUCCUCACAGAGGGACCAGAAAUGAACUGGCAUUUCCUGGGGAAUCCAAAGACUUAUGAUGUAAAUAACUUGCAUGUAUUUCUUCAUGUAGUUCUCAUCCUAUCCAUUUGAUAUUUGAAUUCUCCUUUCACAAGUGAAAUUAAAGAAAUUGAAUGAUUCAUCAGUGGUCUCGAAGGUAAUAACUGGGAAAACUGGCACUUCAACCUGAGACUGCAGCUUCAAGACCAAGUACCUUUCUUCUGUAUCAAUCAGAUUCCUAUCCCCAGGGCUCUCCUAUAUAGCAACUCUGGAGCUUGAAUUCCUUUUCCAUUUUCCCUCCUGAAUCCCAAACCCUCUCUUUGCUAUAUAUAUACCGCUGGAAUAAUUUGAAAGUAAAGAUUUUAUGUAGCAAACAAUGUCCUCUACGUGUGUGGCAAUCAUCCUUAGCCUCAUGAGUAUAUAUAACCUUGUCUUAUCCUCAUGAGUAUUUCUCAGUAACAUUUUGAUGGAUGCAAGAGCUGACACGGCAGAAGCAGUUGUCUGUUGUGUUGUCUCCAAUGACACAUGACAAUCUUCCUUCUUAAUUAGGAACAGGAUGUAUGCAUGAUUUAUAUCUGCAAGCUAUGACUCUCCAAGAGGUGAAGUCUCAGUUGUUAGUAUUUGAAAUAUCCUCUAUAAACCCUAAAGUUAGUACAACAGAAUGUGAAUGGCAUAAUGGCAGAUACAUCAGCUUUUGUCUGACAUAAUAAAAAGAAUAAAAGUUCUUUUUACCCUAUAACCUGUUUAUGUAUGAAAUAAAUGUGCCAAUAUAUGGCAUCUAGAGAUAUCUAGAAUCAUAGAAUUUGAAAGUUUUAAUGAUCUCUGUUGAAGUUUGAGGUCAGUGUCUUUGUGCUUGAAGGAUAUUUUCUAAUGGAUUGGGGGUGGUAGUGCUAAAAGGAACAUGAAUCAUGCAUGAAUAAGGAAGAAAAUCUCCUAGAAUUCUUUUGAGGGAAUGGAAGCUUGAUUACUUAAAAAAUAUAAUAAUUAUAAAACAAAUGCACAUUUAUUAUAAACAGUUUUGAAACAAAAAAAGGUAUAUGGUAGCAAAUAAUAUGCUUUUAAUACCCAGAGUUAACUGUUAAAAUUUUAGAUAUAUUUCAUUUUGUCUUUUUAAUACCUCUCAAAUAAACACAAGGGUUCAUAUGUUUACACAAUUAGGAUCAAGUUCAUCAUACUGAAAUGUAGUUCCAUAUCUCUGCUUUUCUUUAAAAAAAUUAUAUUAAUGAAGAACUUUCCCCAGUGCUGCUAUAUAUUCUCUGGAAAUAUAUAUUUUAAAAUCUAUUCCUUUCCUGGACAUUAUGGGGUUUUUUAGGAUAUUAAAAAUAUA
Molecule: long non-coding RNA, 3518 nt
Organism: Bubalus bubalis (water buffalo)
Lineage: Eukaryota; Metazoa; Chordata; Mammalia; Artiodactyla; Bovidae
Exons: 3
Source: RefSeq, a predicted model, not a curated record